Molecule: ribosomal RNA, 541 nt
Filed under: uncultured bacterium
Lineage: Bacteria
Description: bacterial SSU rRNA
Rfam family: Bacterial small subunit ribosomal RNA
Source: RNAcentral
AAUAGAUACCCCGGUAGUCCACGCCGUAAACGAUGAAUACUAGGUGUAGGGGUUGUCAUGACCUCUGUGCCGCCGCUAACGCAUUAAGUAUUCCGCCUGGGGGAGUACGGUCGCAAGAUUAAAACUCAAAGGAAUUGACGGGGGCCCGCACAAGCAGCGGAGCAUGUGGUUUAAUUCGAAGCAACGCGAAGAACCUUACCUAGACUUGACAUCUCCUGCAUUACCCUUAAUCGGGAAAGUUCCUUCGGGGACAGGAAGACAGGUGGUGCAUGGUUGUCGUCAGCUCGUGUCGUGAGAUGUUGGGUUAAGUCCCGCAACGAGCGCAACCCUUAUUGUUAGUUGCUACCAUUUAGUUGAGCACUCUAGCGAGACUGCCCGGGUUAACCGGGAGGAAGGUGGGGAUGACGUCAAAUCAUCAUGCCCCUUAUGUCUAGGGCUACACACGUGCUACAAUGGCAAGUACAAAGAGACGCAAUACCGCGAGGUGGAACAAAACUCAAAACUUGUCUCAGUUCGGAUUGUAGGCUGAAACUCGCCUACA